This 446-nucleotide ribosomal RNA is filed under the name uncultured bacterium. Its description in RNAcentral is "bacterial SSU rRNA". It matches the Rfam family "Bacterial small subunit ribosomal RNA", at positions 331 to 793 of the family's 1533-position model. The record is from RNAcentral.
CCAGACUCCUACGGGAGGCAGCAGUGGGGGAUAUUGGACAAUGGGGGGAACCCUGAUCCAGCGAUGCCGCGUGAGGGAAGAAGGUUUUCGGAUUGUAAACCUCUGUGGACAGGGACGAUAAUGACGGUACCUGUCAAGAAAGCCACGGCUAACUACGUGCCAGCAGCCGCGGUAAUGCGUAGGGGGCAAGCGUUAUCCGGAUUUACUGGGUGUAAAGGGAGCGCAGACGGCAGUGCAAGUCUGGAGUGAAAGCCCGGGGCCCAACCCCGGAACUGCUCUGGAAACUGUGCGGCUAGAGUACUGGAGGGGCAGGCGGAAUUCCUAGUGUAGCGGUGAAAUGCGUAGAUAUUAGGAGGAACACCAGUGGCGAAGGCGGCCUGCUGGACAGUAACUGACGUUGAGGCUCGAAAGCGUGGGGAGCAAACAGGAUUAGAUACCCUUGUAUG